This 1067-nucleotide ribosomal RNA is filed under the name uncultured eukaryote. Its description in RNAcentral is "SSU rRNA". It matches the Rfam family "Eukaryotic small subunit ribosomal RNA", at positions 627 to 1714 of the family's 1831-position model. The record is from RNAcentral.
CUCGUAGUUGGAUUUCUGUGGGGACGGAGCGGCCGGCCGCAACUUGCGGUUCGAGCUAGCGCUUUCCCUACAUCCUGCCGCGAACCGUGCUACCAUUAGUUUGGUGGCGCCGGGGAUCGGCUCGUUUACUUUGAGAAAAAUAGAGUGUUCAAAGCAGGCCACACGCCUUGAAUAAGUUAGCAUGGAAUAAUAAUAAAGGACUUCGGUUCUAUUUUGUUGGUGUUCGGGACUGAAGUAAUGAUUGAUAGGGACAGUUGGGGCGGUCAGUAUUCCAAAGCGAGAGGUGAAAUUCUUAGACCUUCGGAAGACUAACAGCUGCGAAAGCGUUCCGCAAGGAUGUUCCCUUUGAUCAAGAACGAAAGUUGGGGGAUCGAAGACGAUCAGAUACCGUCGUAGUCUCAACUAUAAACUAUACCAGCUAGGGAUCGGCCAACGUUAAAUUAUUCGACUUGGUCGGUACCUUAUGAGAAAUCAAAGCAUCUGGGUUCCGGGGGGAGUAUGGUCGCAAGGCUGAAACUUAAAGGAAUUGACGGAAGGGCACCACCAGCCGUGGAGCCUGUGGCUUAAUUUGACUCAACACGGGAAAACUUACCAGGUCCAGACAUAGUAAGGAUUGACAGAUUGAUAGCUCUUUCUUGAUUCUGUGGGUGGUGGUGCAUGGCCGUUCUUAGUUGGUGGAGUGAUUUGUCUGGUUAAUUCCGUUAACGAACGAGACCCCAGCCUGCUAAAUAGCGUGGUUGAGCUUUGCUCGGCGCAAGCUUCUUAGAGGGACUAUGAUGCGCGAUAGCACAUGGAAGUUUGGGGCAAUAACAGGUCUGUGAUGCCCUUAGAUGUUCUGGGCCGCACACGGGCUACACUGGCGCCUGCAACGAGCAUAUCAGCUGGCCCGAGAGGGUCUUGGCUAAUCUUUUGAACCGGCGCCGUGCUUGGGAUUGACCAUUGCAAUUGUUGGUCAUGCAACGAGGAAUGCCUUGUAAACGCGAGUCAUCAACUCGCAUUGAAUACGUCCCUGCCCUUUGUACACACGCCCGUCGCUCUACCGAUGAUGUUCCGAUGAAAUUUUCGGA